UAUGGGAAUGCAAUUUGGCCCCAGGAGAAUGGGGGUGAUGAUUCUGUGAAUGGAGAGACUGGUCAUCCCACACAGCUGGAUAGCAAGCCAUGGCGUCCGCUCACUCGUAAACUGAAGAUCCCUGCAGCGAUUCUGAGCCCGUACAGGUUGCUUAUUUUAAUUCGAAUGGCUGUACUUUCCCUAUUCCUCAUGUGGAGAAUUGAAAACAAA
Molecule: unclassified non-coding RNA, 210 nt
Filed under: Hevea brasiliensis (rubber tree)
Lineage: Eukaryota; Viridiplantae; Streptophyta; Magnoliopsida; Malpighiales; Euphorbiaceae
Source: RNAcentral